Molecule: ribosomal RNA, 372 nt
Filed under: uncultured organism
Description: bacterial SSU rRNA
Rfam family: Bacterial small subunit ribosomal RNA
Source: RNAcentral
CAGAGGGGGCAAGCGUUGUUCGGAAUUACUGGGCGUAAAGGGCGCGUAGGCGGCCUGCUAAGUCGAACGUGAAAUCCCUGGGCUCAACCCAGGAACUGCGUCCGAUACUGGUUGGCUUGAAUCCGGGAGAGGGAUGCGGUAUUCCAGGUGUAGCGGUGAAAUGCGUAGAUAUCUGGAGGAACACCGGUGGCGAAGGCGGCAUCCCGGACCGGCAUUGACGCUGAGGCGCGAAAGCCAGGGGAGCAAACGGGAUUAGAUACCCCGGUAGUCCUGGCCCUAAACGAUGAAUGCUUGGUGUGGCGGGUAUCGAUCCCUGCCGUGCCGAAGCUAACGCAUUAAGCAUUCCGCCUGGGGAGUACGGUCGCAAGGCUG